Molecule: ribosomal RNA, 403 nt
Filed under: uncultured Sedimentibacter sp.
Lineage: Bacteria; Bacillati; Bacillota; Tissierellia
Description: bacterial SSU rRNA
Rfam family: Bacterial small subunit ribosomal RNA
Source: RNAcentral
GGGGAAUAUUGCGCAAUGGGCGAAAGCCUGACGCAGCGACGCCGCGUGAGGGAUGAAGGUUCUCGGAUCGUAAACCUCUGUCAGAAGGGAAGAAAAAAAUGACGGUAGCCAAGGAGGAAGCCCCGGCUAACUACGUGCCAGCAGCCGCGGUAAUACGUAGGGGGCGAGCGUUGUCCGGAUUUACUGGGCGUAAAGGGUGAGUAGGCGGUUGUAUAAGUCAGAUGUAAAAGGCGUAGGCUCAACUUACGUAAGCAUUUGAAACUGUACAACUUGAGUGCAGGAGAGGUAAGUGGAAUUCCUAGUGUAGCGGUGAAAUGCGUAGAUAUUAGGAGGAACACCAGUGGCGAAGGCGACUUACUGGACUGUAACUGACGCUGAGUCACGAAAGCGUGGGUAGCAAACA